Catharus ustulatus (Swainson's thrush) is the source of this 69-nucleotide small nucleolar RNA. The record is from Ensembl. NCBI's taxonomy places the organism in Eukaryota, Metazoa, Chordata, Aves, Passeriformes, Turdidae.
CGGAGGUGAUGUCACUGUGCCAUCCUGACCCUCUGUGGAGGCCAAAGACUGAUUUAAUGAGUCUGAUCC